CCUACGGGUGGCUGCAGUGAGGAAUAUUGGUCAAUGGGCGGGAGCCUGAACCAGCCAAGUCGCGUGAAGGAUGAAGGUCCUACGGAUUGUAAACCUCUUUUGUCCGGGAACAAAGCCCCUUACGUGUAGGGGUUUGCAUGUACCGUAAGAAAAAGCAUCGGCUAACUCCGUGCCAGCAGCCGCGGUAAUACGGAAGAUGCGGGCGUUAUCCGGAUUUAUUGGGUUUAAAGGGUGCGUAGGCGGGAUGUCAAGGGUGCUGUGAAAUCUCCGGGCUCAACCCCGGCCUAGCAGCGGAAACUGGCGUGCUUGAGUGGGCGAGAAGUAUGCGGAAUGCGUGGUGUAGCGGUGAAAUGCUUAGAUAUCACGAAGAACUCCGAUUGCGAAGGCAGCAUGCUGGAGCCGAACUGACGCUGAUGCACGAAAGCGCGGGUAUCGAACAGGAUUAGAUACCCUUGUAGUC
Molecule: ribosomal RNA, 460 nt
Filed under: uncultured bacterium
Lineage: Bacteria
Description: partial 16S ribosomal RNA
Rfam family: Bacterial small subunit ribosomal RNA
Source: RNAcentral